Labrus mixtus (cuckoo wrasse) is the source of this 2051-nucleotide long non-coding RNA. RefSeq lists it as uncharacterized. The transcript is spliced from 2 exons. The record is from RefSeq and is a predicted model, not a curated record. Lineage: Eukaryota; Metazoa; Chordata; Actinopteri; Labriformes; Labridae.
AGCUCCUUCACUCUGCUCUCUGCACGUAUCGAUUUAUGAUUAUCAGUUUGAUUCAUUCAUGACGGCGGCCCUCGUGAUGCUGAGAGGUCACACUGGAAACAGUGCGACUAGUUUGAACUUUGAAGCUCAGCAGCUAAUCCUUAUAUUAGAGUUUGGUUUAUUUUUAUGUACAUGCUGGAAUAUCGACGAGGCUGGAUCCCCGAGAGGCCCCACAGGCUCGGUGCCAGCUCUCUCUCUCUGCGUAUAUUUUCAGGACUUUUAUUACAUGCACAUUAGCUCGCGGUGAUGAACAUAACGGGGAACAUUAUCUCAUUAGAAUAUGUAGACCUUUAAAUGUCAAAAAUAAACAAAAACGAUCAGCGGAGCGACGAGCGUGCAUUUUUGAAUAUGUAACAGAUUCAUCGUUUCCUCCUUUACGUUCAGUUUGUUGAAAACAAAAAGUACUCUGCUGUUUUGUGUCAAGACUUUUACACUUUUUUAAAGAUAGAGUUGUGAACGAUAAAGACGCACUUUAAUACUUUUUUAUUCAUCUAAAAAGUGCUCUGUGUCCUAAACUCCUGUGAGGCCGAUGAACCAGUAUAAAAAGCUGAGAGAGAGUUUUAUAUCAUCUAUCAUCAGAGAGGCGCUGUUAUGACUGCACGUGCAGCCGCCACCCUCAACCCCUCGCUGCACAAAGCGUGCAGGGGUUCAGAGCGACAUAGACCGGACUUGUGACCUCACUUUUUCUACUUUCCUCAUCAUGGUGCAUUUAAAUCAAACGGUUGUGUACAGGUCAGUACAUAAAGCGUGUGGAGUGCUGCUCUGACUGCUCAGUUAAAAACAACAGGUGAGCAGAGGAGGCGGGAGAGGCUGUGGGUCUGUGCUUCACAACGAUCGACGUUACCGUAGGCUGAGAGGCUCGACUAGCGUACAAGUAGCUCAGAGGAUUACAAACUCCAGCUGGUGGACACAGACGGUACUGAAGGAGACACACAGCUGCACACAGACUGACCGAUGAGGAACACGAUGAAGAUCGUCUCACGGGAAGGGAAAACACUUUUUACUACUCAGAGACCCUCAACACACAGACUGAGACUUUGACUCCAGAUUUCAGGUCACAUUUUGCACCUGUUUCUGAAAUGUCUCUCUGUUAGCUUAAAUUACUUUAAAUGCUACCCUUCAGAAUCAGAAUCAGAAUCAGCUUUAUUGGCCAGGCAUGCUUACACACACAAGGAAUUUAACUUUGGUGAACUGUGCUCUCUUAUGUACAGGUACAACAUUAAAUAUCAACAAUAAACAAUAAUAAGAAAAGACUAGUAUUUACAUGACUGUGUAUAUAGUAUACAUAUUUAGUAUAUGUACUAAAUAUGAAACAGUGCAGUGGUGAACAGUGCAAAAGAUGCUGAAGUAACAUGAUAAUAAGAAAAAUGCAGUUAUGUGACAGAGGGGUCAAUUACAGUAUUUACAUAAGUGUGUGUAUAUUGAUCAUUUAAAUUAAAUAAUAAAUACAGUAUAUACAUACAUGUAUAUUCACAGUGAUGGUUUGGUUUAGAGUCAUUUCACAGUGACAGGUCUGACACUCUGUGACUGUUUAGCGUUCAUCAGAGUGACAGCCUGGGGGAAGAAACUGUUCUUAUGGCGGGUUGUUUUUGCGUACAGUGUUCUGUAACGCCUGCCAGAGGGGAGGAGUGUGAAAAGUUUGUGUCCAGGGUCCGGAAAACACGUUAAAAAAAACAGCCGACAGCUUCUGCAUGACAUCAGUUUGAAUCCUAACUCUGACAUGUCGUAAUGGACGGGUGUGUAGCCCCCUCUGUGCAGUGUGGAGUAAAGCUGAAUGAAAAUGUUCAGAAAGAAAAAUGUUCUGCAGCUUGACAGCCAGAUGGAAAGGCUGAUGCUCAAUGUGUUUACCCCACAGCGUUUUCAUACAGGUCGCACACAAACACACACACAAAACCUAUAUCUGAGACAUUUCAGUCGUUAUUUUAAGAACUUUUCAGAACAAGCAGCUUCCUGCUUCGACUGUCUGUAUCGAAUUUAAAGUCAGCCACAAGCAGCAACCUCCGGUCUUGAAA